RNAcentral lists this ribosomal RNA (754 nucleotides) under Streptomyces sp. RNAcentral describes it as "bacterial SSU rRNA". It matches the Rfam family "Bacterial small subunit ribosomal RNA", at positions 93 to 859 of the family's 1533-position model. The record is from RNAcentral. Lineage: Bacteria; Bacillati; Actinomycetota; Actinomycetes; Kitasatosporales; Streptomycetaceae.
UAGUGGCGAACGGGUGAGUAACACGUGGGCAAUCUGCCCUUCACUCUGGGACAAGCCCUGGAAACGGGGUCUAAUACCGGAUAAUACUUUCCUCCGCAUGGGGGAGGGUUGAAAGCUCCGGCGGUGAAGGAUGAGCCCGCGGCCUAUCAGCUUGUUGGUGGGGUGAUGGCCUACCAAGGCGACGACGGGUAGCCGGCCUGAGAGGGCGACCGGCCACACUGGGACUGAGACACGGCCCAGACUCCUACGGGAGGCAGCAGUGGGGAAUAUUGCACAAUGGGCGAAAGCCUGAUGCAGCGACGCCGCGUGAGGGAUGACGGCCUUCGGGUUGUAAACCUCUUUCAGCAGGGAAGAAGCGCAAGUGACGGUACCUGCAGAAGAAGCACCGGCUAACUACGUGCCAGCAGCCGCGGUAAUACGUAGGGUGCGAGCGUUGUCCGGAAUUAUUGGGCGUAAAGAGCUCGUAGGCGGCUUGUCACGUCGGAUGUGAAAGCCCGGGGCUUAACCCCGGGUCUGCAUUCGAUACGGGCAGGCUAGAGUGUGGUAGGGGAGAUCGGAAUUCCUGGUGUAGCGGUGAAAUGCGCAGAUAUCAGGAGGAACACCGGUGGCGAAGGCGGAUCUCUGGGCCAUUACUGACGCUGAGGAGCGAAAGCGUGGGGAGCGAACAGGAUUAGAUACCCUGGUAGUCCACGCCGUAAACGUUGGGAACUAGGUGUUGGCGACAUUCCACGUCGUCGGUGCCGCAGCUAACGCA